CACGCCGUAAACGAUGAAUACUAGGUGUAGGGGGUAUCGACUCCCUCUGUGCCGCAGCUAACGCAAUAAGUAUUCCACCUGGGGAGUACGGCCGCAAGGUUGAAACUCAAAGGAAUUGACGGGGGCCCGCACAAGCAGUGGAUUAUGUGGUUUAAUUCGAAGCAACGCGAAGAACCUUACCAGGACUUGACAUCCCUUGACCGCUUAAGAGAUUAAGCUUCCCUUCGGGGCAAGGAGACAGGUGG
Molecule: ribosomal RNA, 245 nt
Filed under: uncultured Saccharofermentans sp.
Lineage: Bacteria; Bacillati; Bacillota; Clostridia; Eubacteriales; Oscillospiraceae
Description: partial 16S ribosomal RNA
Rfam family: Bacterial small subunit ribosomal RNA
Source: RNAcentral